GGCCUGGUGAGGCCCUCACAGACCCCCUCCCUCACCUGUGCUGUCUCUGGAUUCUCCAUCACAACUAGUGCUUCCUGCUGGAGCUGGAUCCGCCAGUCCUCAGUCAAGGGAGUGGAUCAGGGCAUAGGUCACGAGGGAGCACAAAUUCUAACCCACUCCUCAUGAGCUCAGUCACCAUCUCCAGAUCCACGUCCAAGAACCAAAUUUUCUUUUAGCUGAGUUCUGUGACCAACAAUGCCACAACCUUGUAUUACUGUGA
Molecule: long non-coding RNA, 259 nt
Filed under: Homo sapiens (human)
Lineage: Eukaryota; Metazoa; Chordata; Mammalia; Primates; Hominidae
Description: non-protein coding lnc-BRF1-51:1
Source: RNAcentral